Molecule: long non-coding RNA, 892 nt
Organism: Capsella rubella
Lineage: Eukaryota; Viridiplantae; Streptophyta; Magnoliopsida; Brassicales; Brassicaceae
Exons: 10
Source: RefSeq, a predicted model, not a curated record
UUUUUUUUUCUUCUCUCGCUCUUCUGGUGUUUCGAAUGAAGAAUGCAUCGACGAUGGUUGAGGAGAUUGAUAUAAAAUAAUCUGAAGAUUUGGGUUUUGAUUUUGAGUUGAUUUGAUUCAGGCACGAAACUGUUACAAUCUCUUGGGGUUCUUCUUCCUCGUGGUGAUCUGAUCUAGGGUUUUUGAGGCACAGAGUCGACGGCUUGGUUUUUUCUUCUUCUUCCUCGUCGGUGUUGAUUGGAAUCGAGUCUAACCCAUGAAUCUUGGCGACGAGGGAGAUUCUGUUUCAGUCUAACCCAUGAAGCUUGUCUCAGCAGCUUAGACAAGGUAUGUGACUUUGAGUAGAUUUCAAGUGUAGCAGACUUCUUGACAGGCGAACACGGUGGCUACUUUUGCGAGGUUGACUAAGGAGGAUUCUAGGAAGCUUUUGUCUUCGAAAUUUCAUCCUUCAUGGGUUGUGUUUUUCUGAAGUUAAGUUACCAGCUUCUUUCUUGCGUAUACAUUUAUGUGUUUGCAUCGACUUACAUAGCGUUCUCUUGUAUUUACUCAGUUGACUUGGCCAAGCCACCACUUGACAAAGUUAUGGUUUUAUGUUGAUAAGGUAAGUGCUUUGAAAGAUGUUGAUAUUCUCAUUGAUGCCAUGGAGAUUUUGUUACAUACACCAGAUAUUAUUUCCAAAAAUGUAUGAUUUGGCAGUGGAAUUGAUUCUGAGAGAUGCAGAGGAGAUAAAAGAGUAUAGAGAGAAGAAAAUGAACAACUUGUAGGGACAUGCCUAUUGAAGAAUCUCUAAAACUAUUUGACGAAAUGAGACAAUGAAUGAUUGAGGAGGGAAAGGCAAGAUAUGCAGAGUGAAAUUUUUAACAUGUAUGACCUUAUUGGCUAUUGAAUAAAG